Molecule: transfer RNA, 84 nt
Filed under: Haliotis rubra (blacklip abalone)
Lineage: Eukaryota; Metazoa; Mollusca; Gastropoda; Lepetellida; Haliotidae
Description: tRNA-Leu
Rfam family: tRNA
About the family: Transfer RNA (tRNA) molecules are approximately 80 nucleotides in length.
Source: RNAcentral
GUCAGGAUGGCCGAGCGGUCUAAGGCGCCAGACUCAGGUUCUGGUCCACGAAUGUGGGCGUGGGUUCAAAUCCCACUCCUGACA